AAGGAGAAACGUCGAGUUUUAGAGAAAGGUGGUGGGGAAUCAAGGCGAGCUCUGCGUCAAACCUCCUUACUCAUGAGGAAAAAAUGUUUCAGAAUCAAUUUAGACAAUAUUUGCAGCUGGAAUGCACUCAACGCUUGAUGCAACUCUUCCCAGCAAAAAGAAAUAUUUACGCAGGGUGAAACUUAGAUGUGGGUUUUAAAGUAAAUCUACAUGCUCUCUGUGGUUCUGCUAUCAAUCUUAAUGUUGCACCAACAGCUGCUACUGCCAGCACACAACAUAAAUCAGUGCUUCUCUACAACUCAGCCGCUUCUUGAAGGGGUUUCUGUUGGAAAACGUUGCAGUGGGCACACCGAACAAAAACAUUCCCACCAGAGGAGCUGAUGGAAAUGAAGGAAGGACAAAUGGUGUCAGUUUUUAACACGCUAGGAAUAUUUUCAUGCAAUUUUUUUUCCCCCACCGUUUCCGAGGAUCUCUGAUGUGCCAGUAGGUGGCAGUAACAACAACAAAAGUACAAGAAGCCAUUUGUGGCUGAGGUUUGAAGUUCAAUAUCAUCAAAGAGAAAAAAAAUAAAUAAAUUGAAAAAUCUGACAGCAGCUUGGUGCUAAAUGGCUUAAUCUCCAGAAAUAUUCCGAAAUAUUUGAUGCUUUUUUUUAUUUUUUUUUUUACUUUUAAAGUUGUACAAUAGACCAACCAAGAAAAAGUGGAUGAUUAAUUAAAAGCUCUUGCUUUUAAGAAUUUGAGCUUCUUUUCAUAGAUGAACUACAUCUGUGUUCAGGUGAGUUUGGCGUCGGUCCACUCAGGUACCGGCUCCGACGGAGCAACGUUGAGGUGUUUUCCUCAACGUUUAUGAUUGGAGCUGCAGUAGUCAGACUUUUAUAGCUCACUUUUGAGCUCUGUGCUGCUUUCACCUCAUUUGUCCUUAAGAAAUAUAGUGCAGGAGGAUAUAAAAAUGUUUUCUAAAGCCUUCCUGCCAAACAUUUUGCAGACUAGACACCUCAAAUUAGAGCCGAGCGAUAAAUCGAUUUUAGUGAUUAAUUUCUGGUUUAUGGAGAUUUAAUUUUAGGAAAAUGUGGGGGGGAGUGGGGGGGGUAACCCAGCAACACAAACUCCUUGGGUUUCCGCAGUUCAGAGUUAUGUCAGAACACCCAGGGCGGCCAUCUUGUUUGACAAACGAUUUUCAGAGCUUCUAAUUAUAUGGACUUUGAAAGCAGAUCACGUCUGUGACAAGAUACAAAUUGGGCUAAGAUUUUUCUUCUUUUUCUUUUUUUUUUUUUUUAACAAAAAUAAAGUCAUAAUGUUACAGCCAUAGUAACAUGAGAAUAAAGUUGUAAUGUUAGAAGAAUUAAGUGCCAAAAGGUUUAAUCAAAUGAACUUUCUUUUUCUCUUGACAACAACUUUUUCUCACAAUUAGAAAAAAAAUAUUGUAGUCUGGCUUUAAUACUCUUCUCUAACUCACAGGAGGGACAGUUGAAAUAUAGGCUCCUUUUUGAAGCUAUGUUCUCUCAUUUGUAAUUUUUUUUUUUUUUACAAAAGAAACAAAAAAAACAUCUAAAUCACAUCUAGUAUGAAUAAAAAUUAAAAAUCUGACUUUUAAGCCAUAUCCUCCAGUCCUGGUCCAAAGACAGCACAGCUUUGCUGUACUCGCCUUUAACCUUCCUGUUAUCUGCUGAAAGUCUUGUUCUCUUGCACAACGGGGGAAACUGGUGGCAAUUCUGAACAGAAACCCCAUUUAAACUUUUUAAAGUUUGUCUCCUCUUGUUUAUCUCACCAAUACUGAAAACGGUCUUCAGUCUUUCAGUCUUCUUCCUUCAGGAAGCUCUUCUAGUUAGUGUGGUGCAUUCAUGGAUCACCUAUCAGGCUAAAAGUCAGAUAUUUUCUCAUGGAAUUUCUUUGAAUAACAGUCUAAUACAGAUUUGGGUUACUUGCUGAAGGGAAUG
Molecule: long non-coding RNA, 1937 nt
Organism: Poecilia latipinna (sailfin molly)
Lineage: Eukaryota; Metazoa; Chordata; Actinopteri; Cyprinodontiformes; Poeciliidae
Exons: 2
Source: RefSeq, a predicted model, not a curated record